Non-coding RNA from Pelobates cultripes (western spadefoot toad), 937 nucleotides. NCBI's taxonomy places the organism in Eukaryota, Metazoa, Chordata, Amphibia, Anura, Pelobatidae. The record is from the annotation of a GenBank genome assembly.
CUAUACACCAUAAUCCCGCAUAACAUAGGUUGUCAAGCUGUAAAAUAGAUUUUAUAUAAAUAAAAAAAGAAUCCCAAGCGCCCAGAUUGAUUUUAUCUUACAGGGUAUUAACAUUAUUUUAACAAAUAAUUACUUUUGGUUUUUAGAUUAUUUUUACUUUCAAAAAAGGGGCGCGAUAAUGGGGACCAGGUUUGCCCUAGCAAUGAAAACCUUUUUAUGUCAGAUUGGGAAUCCCAAGCCAUUUGGGGUGGACAUACCUGGUGGGCAAAUCUGGUUUCGUACUUUAGAUACAUAGAUGAUCUAUAUGGGGAUACUCAGACGAUUCUCCAAAUGCUGUUAUUAAUCAUCUGAAUAACAAUAACAGGAAUUUUUUUAACAUGUGAGUACAGUAGCGGGUCUAUUCAUUUUUGAGAUUUACAUUUUUUUUUUUUUUUUUCAAUCUUUCUUUUAUUGAUGCAUUUGUUUAUGGUGGGACAGAAUAAAGAGAGGGUGAAAGGCAAUAAACAUACAAGGUAGGGACAUCAUAACAAAGUUCAACAUUUCUUAGAAAUGGCUGCUUCAUUUUAUAUUAAGUAAACAAACUUGUAACAUUCUUUGGUGAUGCGUCUGAACUCUCUAGUGUGUUAAUAAUUCAGUGUAUGCGUUAUCAAGGUGAGAUCAAAGUAGGCAUGUGUACUUCGAUAUUAUCUGUCUCAUCAUAUGUGAAGUUGCAUAAACAUAACGAUUAAUGAAACAAAAAGUAAUGGCUAAAUUGAGCCUGCUAUGCCUGAGCGUGUCUUAGAGCCAGCAUACACAGAAAUGAAAGUAUCUCAGGCUGAAUAUACAUGAGUGAAACAAACAAGGAAAACCGAACUGGUAGUAAGACUAGUUAGCUAUAUAUACUGCCACAGUCCCCGCCACCUCCCUCCCCCGUGGAGCUACUCCAGGUAUAGUGUCA